This 330-nucleotide unclassified non-coding RNA is filed under the name Hevea brasiliensis (rubber tree). The record is from RNAcentral. Lineage: Eukaryota; Viridiplantae; Streptophyta; Magnoliopsida; Malpighiales; Euphorbiaceae.
UUUAGUCUCUCUAUUUUAGUGAAACUAAUUAACUACACAUUAAUUGAUCCCCAUAAUUUAGUUCCGUUAACUCUAUAGUCCCUCGUGUUAUUUUUUUAUGCCCAAACUACCAUAUUCUGUCCCUCUUAUUUUUCUCUUGCUCUCAUUUAUUCCUCACUCCCCAUAUUUCUUGCCCUCUAUACCUACACCCUUUUUCCCCCUCAUUUUCUCUCUAUUUUUCAUCGUUUGAUAAAACUACCCAGAGAAUCAAAUGAAAAUACUUGAACAAUUUAAAACAAAUGCAAAUUCAAAUUUAGUCUCCGCAUGACAAAAUUUCUAUUUUCAUCCAGG